AGAGUUUGAUCCUGGCUCAGGAUGAACGCUGGCGGCGUGCCUAAUACAUGCAAGUCGAGCGAACGGACGAGAAGCUUGCUUCUCUGAUGUUAGCGGCGGACGGGUGAGUAACACGUGGAUAACCUACCUAUAAGACUGGGAUAACUUCGGGAAACCGGAGCUAAUACCGGAUAAUAUUUUGAACCGCAUGGUUCAAAAGUGAAAGACGGUCUUGCUGUCACUUAUAGAUGGAUCCGCGCUGCAUUAGCUAGUUGGUAAGGUAACGGCUUACCAAGGCAACGAUGCAUAGCCGACCUGAGAGGGUGAUCGGCCACACUGGAACUGAGACACGGUCCAGACUCCUACGGGAGGCAGCAGUAGGGAAUCUUCCGCAAUGGGCGAAAGCCUGACGGAGCAACGCCGCGUGAGUGAUGAAGGUCUUCGGAUCGUAAAACUCUGUUAUUAGGGAAGAACAUAUGUGUAAGUAACUGUGCACAUCUUGACGGUACCUAAUCAGAAAGCCACGGCUAACUACGUGCCAGCAGCCGCGGUAAUACGUAGGUGGCAAGCGUUAUCCGGAAUUAUUGGGCGUAAAGCGCGCGUAGGCGGUUUUUUAAGUCUGAUGUGAAAGCCCACGGCUCAACCGUGGAGGGUCAUUGGAAACUGGAAAACUUGAGUGCAGAAGAGGAAAGUGGAAUUCCAUGUGUAGCGGUGAAAUGCGCAGAGAUAUGGAGGAACACCAGUGGCGAAGGCGACUUUCUGGUCUGUAACUGACGCUGAUGUGCGAAAGCGUGGGGAUCAAACAGGAUUAGAUACCCUGGUAGUC
Molecule: ribosomal RNA, 805 nt
Filed under: Staphylococcus aureus
Lineage: Bacteria; Bacillati; Bacillota; Bacilli; Caryophanales; Staphylococcaceae
Description: bacterial SSU rRNA
Rfam family: Bacterial small subunit ribosomal RNA
Source: RNAcentral